Molecule: non-coding RNA, 71 nt
Organism: Gymnothorax javanicus (giant moray)
Lineage: Eukaryota; Metazoa; Chordata; Actinopteri; Anguilliformes; Muraenidae
Source: the annotation of a GenBank genome assembly
GCCCCAGUGGCCUAGUGGUAACUCUCCCACCUGCUGUGUGGGCGACCCGGGUUUGAAUCCCGUCAUCAGCG